UCUGGCUCAGGAUGAACGCUGGCGGCGUGCCUAAUACAUGCAAGUCGAACGAGCGAGAUCCAGCUUGCUGGAUUAGCGAGUGGCGAACGGGUGAGUAAUACGUAAGCAACCUGCCUACACGGACUGGGAUAACACCUGGAAACGGGCGCUAAUACCGGAUAGGUAACGAGAGGGCAUCCUCUUGUUAUUAAAGGUUUGAAACACAAGUAGAUGGGCUUACGGUGCAUUAGCUAGUUGGUGAGGUAACGGCCCACCAAGGCGAUGAUGCAUAGCCGGCCUGAGAGGGUGAACGGCCACAUUGGGACUGAGACACGGCCCAGACUCCUACGGGAGGCAGCAGUAGGGAAUUUUCGGCAAUGGGCGCAAGCCUGACCGAGCAACGCCGCGUGAAGUGAAGAAGGUUUUCGGAUCGUAAAGCUCUGUUGUAAGGGAAGAAUGGCGCGGAUAGACUCCGCGAUUGACGGUACCUUACCAGAAAGCCACGGCUAACUACGUGCCAGCCGCUGC
Molecule: ribosomal RNA, 507 nt
Filed under: uncultured bacterium
Lineage: Bacteria
Description: bacterial SSU rRNA
Rfam family: Bacterial small subunit ribosomal RNA
Source: RNAcentral